Molecule: ribosomal RNA, 253 nt
Filed under: uncultured bacterium
Lineage: Bacteria
Description: partial 16S ribosomal RNA
Rfam family: Bacterial small subunit ribosomal RNA
Source: RNAcentral
UACGGAGGGUGCAAGCGUUGUUCGGAAUUACUGGGCGUAAAGCGCCUGUAGGCGGUUAGAGAAGUUGGGUGUGAAAGCCCCGGGCUCAACCCGGGAAUUGCGCCUAAAACCAUCUAGCUUGAGUGCCAGAGGGGUACGUGGAAUUCCCAGUGUAGCAGUGAAAUGCGUAGAUAUUGGGAGGAACACCGAUGGUGAAGACAACGUACUGGAUGGUAACUGACGCUAAGAGGCGAAAGCGUGGGUAGCAAACAGG